Lycium ferocissimum is the source of this 353-nucleotide long non-coding RNA. RefSeq lists it as uncharacterized. The transcript is spliced from 2 exons. Lineage: Eukaryota; Viridiplantae; Streptophyta; Magnoliopsida; Solanales; Solanaceae. The record is from RefSeq and is a predicted model, not a curated record.
UAUUUUAUAUACAGUGUUGCUAUAUUGAUUCAAACUGUUUUAAUUAUAUGAAGAUUGUGAUUUGUAGUGCUUUAUGCUGUUUCAAAUGUGUAGUUUUAUUUAUUUGACCCUGGUGAUCUAACAUUUGCAUGAUGAUUGAGAGAGUGGCAUUAAAUAGCUAUGCCUCAGUCUCAAACAAGUUAGGGUCGGUUGUAGGAAUCCUCACUGUUUCGUUUAAGCUCAACUCAUGUCAUCAUUGUUAGAAUAAAAGUAAAAGUGAAAAAUAAGCUAAUCUUAGUAGUUUAGUUGGUUGGCUAUGUGAACUUUCACCUUGUUGGUGAGGGUUCGAUUACCCACCUUGUAAUCCCCUCCCC